RNA transcript from Sapajus apella (tufted capuchin), 1595 nucleotides. It is a transcript of the gene named septin-7-like, with no coding region annotated. NCBI's taxonomy places the organism in Eukaryota, Metazoa, Chordata, Mammalia, Primates, Cebidae. The transcript is spliced from 2 exons. The record is from RefSeq and is a predicted model, not a curated record.
GUCAACAGCAGCACCAUGGCUCAACAGAAGAACCCUGAAGGCUCUGUGGGAUUUGCCAAUCUCCCAAAUCAAGUAUACAGAAAAUCAGUGAAUAGAGGGUUUGAAUUCUCGCUUAUGGUAGUAGGUGAAUGUGGAUUGGGAAAGUCGACAUUAACCAACUCAUUAUUCCUGACAGAUUUGUAUUCUCCGGAGUAUCCAGUUCCUUCUCAUAGAAUAAAAAAGACUAUACAGGUUGAACAAUCCAAAGUUUUAAUCAAAGAAGGUGGUGUUCAGUCGCUACUCACAGUAGUUGAUAUCCCAGGAUUCGGAGAAGCAGUGGAUAAUUGUAAUUGCUGGCAGCCUGUUAUUGACUACACUGAUAGUAAAUCUGAUGACUACCUAAAUGCAGAAUCGAGAGUGAACAGACGUCAGAUGCCUGAUAACAGGGUGCAGUGUUGUUUACACUUCAUUGCUCCUUCAGGACAUGGAUUUAAACCAUUGGAUAUUGAGUUUAUGAAGCAUUUGCAAGAAAAAGUGAAUGUCAUCCCACUUAUUGCUAAAGCAGACACACUCACACUAGAGGAAUGCCAUCAGUUUAAAAAACGGAUAAUGAAAGAAAUCCAGGAACAUGAAAUUAAAAUACGUGAAUUUCCAGAAACAGAUGAUGAAGAAGAAAAUAAACUUGUUAAAAAUAUAAAGAUGGUUUACUUGCUGUGGUAGGUAGUAAUACUAUCAUUGAAGUUAAUGGCAAAACGAUCCGAGGAAGGCAGUAUUCUUGGGGUGUUGCUGAAGUUGAAAAUGGUGAACAUUCUAAUUUUACACUCUAAGAAAUAUGUUGGUAAGAACACACACUUGAAAGAUGUUGCUAAUAAUGUUCACUGUGAGAAUCACAGAAGCAAAAAAUUGGCAGCUGUGACUUAUAAUGGAGAUGAUAACAAGAAUAAAGGGCAGCUGACUAAGAGCCCGCUGGCACAAAUGGAAGAUGAAAGAAGGGAGCCACGUAGCUAAAAUGAAGACAAUGGAGAUGUAGAUGGAGCAGAUGUUUGAGAUGAAGGUCAAAAAAGAAGUUCAAAAACUGAAGGACUCUGAAGCUGAGCUCCAGCGGCACCAUGAACAAAUGAAAAAGAAUUUGGACACACAGCACAAAGAAUUAGAGGGAAAAUGUCAUCAGUUUGAGGAUGAGAAAGUAAACUGGGAAACUCAAUAACAUGUUUUAGAACAACAGAACUCUUUGAGGACCUUGGAAAAGAACAAGAAGAAAGGGAAGAUCUUUUAAACUCUCUAUUGACCACCAGUUACAUAUUAGUUGCCAAUAGGCCAGCUUGGACAUCAGUGUUUGUUGAAUCCGUUUGACCAAUUUGCACCAGCUUUAUCCAUUAAUGAUGGAUUUAACAGCAUGACAAAAAUUAUUUUGUUGUUGUUGUUCUUGAUGGAGAUUAAGAUGCCUUGAAUUGUCUAGGGUGUUAUGUACUUAGAAAGUAACAGCUCUAAGUACCUUUCCUACAUUUUUUUUAAAUUUAUUAAACAGGUAUCUUCAGUUUAAUGCAAGAGAAUAUUUUACCGUUGUACAAUCAUCUUCUGGUGGUUUGAUUGUUUACAGAAUAUUCCAAAAUAAA